AGACUCCUACGGGAGGCAGCAGUAGGGAAUCUUCCGCAAUGGACGAAAGUCUGACGGAGCAACGCCGCGUGAGUGAUGAAGGUUUUCGGAUCGUAAAGCUCUGUUGUUAGGGAAGAACAAGUGCAAGAGUAACUGCUUGCACCUUGACGGUACCUAACCAGAAAGCCACGGCUAACUACGUGCCAGCAGCCGCGGUAAUAC
Molecule: ribosomal RNA, 201 nt
Filed under: Bacillus sp. SK2(2015)
Lineage: Bacteria; Bacillati; Bacillota; Bacilli; Caryophanales; Bacillaceae
Description: partial 16S ribosomal RNA
Rfam family: Bacterial small subunit ribosomal RNA
Source: RNAcentral